This 77-nucleotide transfer RNA is filed under the name Pseudomonadota bacterium. RNAcentral's name for it is "tRNA-Ile". RNAcentral also lists the same sequence under 2 other names. The record is from RNAcentral. Lineage: Bacteria; Pseudomonadati; Pseudomonadota.
GGGCCCGUAGCUCAAGUGGUCAGAGCAGCGCCCUCAUAAGGCGCCGGUUCCUGGAUCGAAGCCAGGCGGGCCCACCA